GGAAUAGUUUCUGAGAUGACGCAUGUCACUUUGUUUGAGCCUGAGCUUGGCUCACUUUUGUAGACUUUAUAUUUCGCACCAUAUUUGUGCUCCAAUAGAAUGCAAGAUAGACGGUUUUGAACAAAGCUGUUUUGGCGGUGCACUGUGGCAGGCACAUUUGGGGAAUCUGCCAAGUGGCAACUUCCAGUUGUUUUUUGAGACAUUUGACCCUAAAGAAAGGACUGGGAUUCGUCUUGGUCCUGGACACAGAUUUUGUUGGGUAUUUUGACCUGUUCUGCUGGCUCCUGAAUUGUCGUUUGUUCCCUUAAACUGUGUUUUUCUGAUUCGGGGCGGGGGGUUGUAUAA
This 345-nucleotide long non-coding RNA is filed under the name Androctonus crassicauda. Lineage: Eukaryota; Metazoa; Arthropoda; Arachnida; Scorpiones; Buthidae. The record is from RNAcentral.